AUUGAACGCUGGCGGCGUGCUUAACACAUGCAAGUCGUGCGGUAACAGGCGUAGCAAUACGUGCUGACGAGCGGCGAACGGGUGCGUAAUACAUGGGAAUCUGCCCUUUAGUGGGGAAUAACCCGGCGAAAGCCGGGCUAAUGCCGCAUAAGAUCUUCGGAUGAAAGCGGGGGAUCGUAAGACCUCGCGCUGAUGGAUGAGCCCAUGUCGGAUUAGCUAGNGGUGAGGUAACGGCUCACCAAGGCGACGAUCCGUAGCUGGUCUGAGAGGACGGCCAGCCACACUGGGACUGAGACACGGCCCAGACUCCUACGGGAGGCAGCAGUGGGGAAUAUUGGACAAUGGGCGAAAGCCUGAUCCAGCGACGCCGCGUGUGUGAAGAAGGCCU
Molecule: ribosomal RNA, 388 nt
Filed under: uncultured bacterium
Lineage: Bacteria
Description: bacterial SSU rRNA
Rfam family: Bacterial small subunit ribosomal RNA
Source: RNAcentral